This 478-nucleotide ribosomal RNA is filed under the name uncultured organism. RNAcentral's name for it is "partial 16S ribosomal RNA". It matches the Rfam family "Bacterial small subunit ribosomal RNA", at positions 331 to 800 of the family's 1533-position model. The record is from RNAcentral.
GUACACUCCUGCGGGAGGCAGCAGUGGGGAAUUUUGAACAAUGGGCGAAAGCCUGAUCCAGCAAUGCCGCGUGCAGGAUGAAGGCCUUCGGGUUGUAAACUGCUUUUGUACGGAACGAAAAAGCUCCUUCUAAUACAGGGGGCCCAUGACGGUACCGUAAGAAUAAGCACCGGCUAACUACGUGCCAGCAGCCGCGGUAAUACGUAGGGUGCGAGCGUUAAUCGGAAUUACUGGGCGUAAAGCGUGCGCAGGCGGUUAUGUAAGACAGAUGUGAAAUCCCCGGGCUCAACCUGGGAACUGCAUUUGUGACUGCAUGGCUAGAGUACGGUAGAGGGGGAUGGAAUUCCGCGUGUAGCAGUGAAAUGCGUAGAUAUGCGGAGGAACACCGAUGGCGAAGGCAAUCCCCUGGACCUGUACUGACGCUCAUGCACGAAAGCGUGGGGAGCAAACAGGAUUAGAUACCCGGGUAGUCCCAUGA